Molecule: ribosomal RNA, 114 nt
Filed under: uncultured bacterium
Lineage: Bacteria
Description: partial 16S ribosomal RNA
Rfam family: Bacterial small subunit ribosomal RNA
Source: RNAcentral
CGGUGAAUACGUUCCCGGACCUUGCACACACCGCCCGUCAAGCCAUGGAAGCCGGGUGUACCUAAAGUCGAUAACCGCUAAGGAGUCGCCUAGGGUAAACUGGUAACUGGGGCU